CUCAUUUGCACGUUCAAGAGCUUGCACGAUAAGCCAAGAACACUUGAAAUCUUCAAUGUCAGUCCCAAUCUUUCCGAUCACUUCAGGGUCACCAAAGCAGUCUAAGUAAUCAUCCUGUACUUGGAAGUACGUUCCCAUUUCGAUAAGAAUAUCUUUUACAGCAACAAACUUGGACAAGUUUUCACCAGACAUCAGCAAUGCACAUGCAACUGGAAGGUAAAAGGAAUAGUAAGCAGUUUUGUACUGAACAAUGCGCCGGUACACUGGCAUUUUAUACUUCGACAGAUCUUUUUCUCCUUCAUGAGUAGUGAUCAAAUCAAGCAUCUGCCCCGAAGCAGUCUGAAAUUCCACCUCAUUGAAUAAAUCCAAGAGAUCUACAUAGUAGGACUUUUCCCUGAAAUGUCGUUUCAGAAUCCGAGGAAUGUGAUUACGGAG
Molecule: unclassified non-coding RNA, 435 nt
Filed under: Hevea brasiliensis (rubber tree)
Lineage: Eukaryota; Viridiplantae; Streptophyta; Magnoliopsida; Malpighiales; Euphorbiaceae
Source: RNAcentral